Molecule: ribosomal RNA, 434 nt
Filed under: uncultured bacterium
Lineage: Bacteria
Description: bacterial SSU rRNA
Rfam family: Bacterial small subunit ribosomal RNA
Source: RNAcentral
AACGAACGCUGGCGGCAUGCCUAACACAUGCAAGUCGAACGAACCCUUCGGGGUUAGUGGCGCACGGGUGCGUAACGCGUGGGGAUCUGCCCAAAGGUUCGGAAUAACUCAGAGAAAUUUGAGCUAAUACCGGAUAAUGUCUUCGGACCAAAGAUUUAUUGCCUUUGGAUGAACCCGCGUAGGAUUAGCUUGUUGGUGGGGUAAAGGCCUACCAAGGCGACGAUCCUUAGCUGGUCUGAGAGGAUGAUCAGCCACACUGGGACUGAGACACGGCCCAGACUCCUACGGGAGGCAGCAGUGGGGAAUAUUGGACAAUGGGCGAAAGCCUGAUCCAGCAAUGCCGCGUGAGUGAUGAAGGCCUUAGGGUUGUAAAGCUCUUUUACCUAGGGAUGAUAAUGACAGUACCUGGAGAAUAAGCUCCGGCUAACUCCGUG